RNAcentral lists this ribosomal RNA (245 nucleotides) under uncultured bacterium. RNAcentral's name for it is "partial small subunit ribosomal RNA". It matches the Rfam family "Bacterial small subunit ribosomal RNA", at positions 26 to 285 of the family's 1533-position model. The record is from RNAcentral.
AGAAUCAACGCUGGCGGCGUGCCUAACACAUGCAAGUCGAACGAGAAAGUGGAGCAAUCCAUGAGUAAAGUGGCGCACGGGUGAGUAACACGUGACUAACCUACCCUUGAGUGGGGAAUAACUGAGGGAAACCUUAGCUAAUACCGCAUAAUACCCACGGGUCAAAGCAGCAAUGCGCUUGGAGAGGAGUUCGCGGCCGAUUAGCUAGUUGGCGGGGUAAUGGCCCACCAAGGCGAUGAUCGGUA